This 511-nucleotide ribosomal RNA is filed under the name Crystallibacter crystallopoietes. RNAcentral describes it as "bacterial SSU rRNA". It matches the Rfam family "Bacterial small subunit ribosomal RNA", at positions 110 to 635 of the family's 1533-position model. The record is from RNAcentral. Lineage: Bacteria; Bacillati; Actinomycetota; Actinomycetes; Micrococcales; Micrococcaceae.
GUAACACGUGAGUAACCUGCCCUUGACUCUGGGAUAAGCCUGGGAAACCGGGUCUAAUACCGGAUACGACCUUUCACCGCAUGGUGGUUGGUGGAAAGAUUUUUUGGUUUUGGAUGGACUCGCGGCCUAUCAGCUUGUUGGUGAGGUAAUGGCUCACCAAGGCGACGACGGGUAGCCGGCCUGAGAGGGUGACCGGCCACACUGGGACUGAGACACGGCCCAGACUCCUACGGGAGGCAGCAGUGGGGAAUAUUGCACAAUGGGCGAAAGCCUGAUGCAGCGACGCCGCGUGAGGGAUGACGGCCUUCGGGUUGUAAACCUCUUUCAGCAGGGAAGAAGCGAAAGUGACGGUACCUGCAGAAGAAGCGCCGGCUAACUACGUGCCAGCAGCCGCGGUAAUACGUAGGGCGCAAGCGUUGUCCGGAAUUAUUGGGCGUAAAGAGCUCGUAGGCGGUUUGUCGCGUCUGCUGUGAAAGCCCGGGGCUCAACCCCGGGUCUGCAGUGGGUACGG